UUCCAUGGUAACAGCAGUUGGACAUGGGUCAGUCGAUCCUAAGAGAUAGGGAAACUCCGUUUUAAAGUGCACGAUUCUUCGCGCCGCCUAUCGAAAGGGAAUCCGGUUAAAAUUCCGGAACCAGAAUGUGGAUUCUUAACGGCAACGUAAAUGAACUUGGAGACGUUGGCAAGGGCCCCGGGAAGAGUUAUCUUUUCUCCUUAACAGUUUGAAACCUUGAAAUCAGUUUAGCUGGAGCUAAGGUUUAAUGACUGGUAGAGCACAGCACUUCUGUUGUGUCCGGUGCGUUCUUGACAAUCCUUGAAAAUCCAAGGGAAUGAAUAAUUUUCACAUCUGGUCGUACUCAUAACCGCAGCAGGUCUCCAAGGUGAACAGCCUCUAGUUGAUAGAACAAUGUAGAUAAGGGAAGUCGGCAAAUUAGAUCCGUAACUUCGGGAAAAGGAUUGGCUCUAAGGGUUGGGUAUAUUGGGCCUUGGUCAAAUGCUCUGGGACUCGGCUAGGACUGUUUGGGGGGCAACCUUUAGACGGACUUGGCUAGGACUCGGAUGUGGACGGCCUUGGCUGCUCUUCGGGGCGUCUGGUAUACGCUUAACAACCGACUUAGAACUGGUACGGACAAGGGGAAUCUGACU
Molecule: ribosomal RNA, 632 nt
Filed under: Strobilurus esculentus
Lineage: Eukaryota; Fungi; Basidiomycota; Agaricomycetes; Agaricales; Physalacriaceae
Description: eukaryotic LSU rRNA
Rfam family: Eukaryotic large subunit ribosomal RNA
Source: RNAcentral